RNAcentral lists this transfer RNA (84 nucleotides) under Lentisphaeria bacterium. RNAcentral's name for it is "tRNA-Leu". It matches the Rfam family "tRNA". Rfam says of the family: Transfer RNA (tRNA) molecules are approximately 80 nucleotides in length. Their secondary structure includes four short double-helical elements and three loops (D, anti-codon, and T loops). The record is from RNAcentral. Lineage: Bacteria; Pseudomonadati; Lentisphaerota; Lentisphaeria.
GCCCGGAUGGCGAAAUGGCAGACGCAACAGACUUAAAAUCUGUCACCUCAGGGUAUACGGGUUCGAGUCCCGUUCCGGGCACCA